This 254-nucleotide ribosomal RNA is filed under the name uncultured bacterium. RNAcentral's name for it is "partial 16S ribosomal RNA". It matches the Rfam family "Bacterial small subunit ribosomal RNA", at positions 524 to 776 of the family's 1533-position model. The record is from RNAcentral.
UACAGAGGGGGCUAGCGUUGUUCGGAUUUACUGGGCGUAAAGGGCGCGUAGGCGGCCAGCACAAGUCAGUUGUGAAAUCUCCGAGCUUAACUCGGAACGGUCAACUGAUACUGUGCGGCUAGAGUGCAGAAGGGGCAACUGGAAUUCUUGGUGUAGCGGUGAAAUGCGUAGAUAUCAAGAGGAACACCUGCGGCGAAGGCGGGUUGCUGGGCCGACACUGACGCUGAGGCGCGAAAGCUAGGGGAGCGAACGGG